GUGAAUCAUCGAAUUUUUGAACGCAAAUUGCGCUUCCUGGCAUUCCCGGGAGGUAUGCCUGUUUGAGGGUCAGUAUUAAUAAAAAAUCGGUUUAGUUACAAAUUGUGACGUUUCAGGUGUUUGGGGUAUCUUAACAUUUUUGGUUAAGAGGUUUAAAAUUGACAUUUUUUGCGUCUUUUUAAACGUAUAUACUUUUUUUUUCUUGGUCUAUUCUUAAUGCCAAAAUCUUAUUAGAUGCGAUCACAUAGUGUGGUUUAGUG
Molecule: unclassified non-coding RNA, 260 nt
Filed under: Glomerales sp.
Lineage: Eukaryota; Fungi; Glomeromycota; Glomeromycetes; Glomerales; Glomeraceae
Description: partial contains 5.8S ribosomal RNA and internal transcribed spacer 2
Rfam family: 5.8S ribosomal RNA (bases 1-72)
Source: RNAcentral